This 484-nucleotide ribosomal RNA is filed under the name uncultured bacterium. RNAcentral's name for it is "partial 16S ribosomal RNA". It matches the Rfam family "Bacterial small subunit ribosomal RNA", at positions 30 to 507 of the family's 1533-position model. The record is from RNAcentral.
AUUGAACGCUGGCGGCAGGCCUAACACAUGCAAGUCGAGCGGAUGAAGGGAGCUUGCUCCUGGAUUCAGCGGCGGACGGGUGAGUAAUGCCUAGGAAUUUGCCUGGUAGUGGGGGAUAACGUCCGGAAACGGGCGCUAAUACCGCAUACGUCCUGAGGUAGAAAGUGGGGGAUCUUCGGACCUCACGCUAUCAGAUGAGCCUAGGUCGGAUUAGCUAGUUGGUGGGGUAAAGGCCUACCAAGGCGACGAUCCGUAACUGGUCUGAGAGGAUGAUCAGUCACACUGGAACUGAGACACGGUCCAGACUCCUACGGGAGGCAGCAGUGGGGAAUAUUGGGCAAUGGGCGAAAGCCUGAUCCAGCCAUGCCGCGUGUGUGAAGAAGGUCUUCGGAUUGUAAAGCACUUUAAGUUGGGAGGAAGGGCAGUAAGUUAAUACCUUGCUGUUUUGACGUUACCAACAGAAUAAGCACCGGCUAACUUCGUG